AGUUCGGAUUGUAGGCUGAAACUCGCCUACAUGAAGCUGGAGUUACUAGUAAUCGCAGAUCAGAAUGCUGCGGUGAAUGCGUUCCCGGGUCUUGUACACACCGCCCGUCACACCACGGAAGUUGGGGGCGCCCGAAGCCACUUAGCUAACCCAUUUGGGAAGCGAGUGUCGAAGGUGAAAUCAAUAACUGGGGUGAAGUCGUAACAAGGUAUC
RNAcentral lists this ribosomal RNA (213 nucleotides) under uncultured bacterium. Its description in RNAcentral is "partial 16S ribosomal RNA". It matches the Rfam family "Bacterial small subunit ribosomal RNA", at positions 1290 to 1500 of the family's 1533-position model. The record is from RNAcentral.